This 253-nucleotide ribosomal RNA is filed under the name uncultured bacterium. RNAcentral's name for it is "partial 16S ribosomal RNA". It matches the Rfam family "Bacterial small subunit ribosomal RNA", at positions 524 to 776 of the family's 1533-position model. The record is from RNAcentral.
UACGUAGGGUGCAGGCGUUAAUCGGAAUUACUGGGCGUAAAGCGUGCGCAGGCGGUUUGCUAAGACAGGUGUGAAAUCCCCGGGCUUAACCCCGGAAUUGCACCUCAAACUACAUGGCUAGAGCAUUGGAGAGGGUAGCGGAAUUCAUGGUGUAGCAGUGAAAUGCGUAGAUAUCGUGAGGAACACCAGAGGCGAAGGCGGCUACCUGGACAAUUGCUGACACUCAGGCACGAAAGCGUGGGGAGCAAAAGGG